GAUGAACGCUAGCGACAGGCUUAACACAUGCAAGUCGAGGGGCAGCACAGGUAGCAAUACCGGGUGGCGACCGGCGCACGGGUGAGUAACGCGUAUGCAACUUACCUAUCAGAGGGGGAUAACCCGGCGAAAGUCGGACUAAUACCGCAUGAAGCAGGGGUCCCGCAUGGGGAUAUUUGCUAAAGAUUCAUCGCUGAUAGAUAGGCAUGCGUUCCAUUAGGCAGUUGGCGGGGUAACGGCCCACCAAACCGACGAUGGAUAGGGGUUCUGAGAGGAAGGUCCCCCACAUUGGUACUGAGACACGGACCAAACUCCUACGGGAGGCAGCAGUGAGGAAUAUUGAUCAAUGGCCGAGAGGCUGAACCAGCCAAGUCGCGUGAGGGAUGAAGGUCCUAUGGAUCGUAAACCUCUUUUAUAAGGGAAUAAAGUGCGGGACGUGUCCCGUUUUGUAUGUACCUUAUGAAUAAGGAUCGGCUAACUCCGUG
Molecule: ribosomal RNA, 485 nt
Filed under: uncultured bacterium
Lineage: Bacteria
Description: partial 16S ribosomal RNA
Rfam family: Bacterial small subunit ribosomal RNA
Source: RNAcentral